AUGAACGCUAGCGACAGGCCUAACACAUGCAAGUCGAGGGGCAGCACAAGGAGCAAUCUGAGGUGGCGACCGGCGCACGGGUGAGUAACACGUAUGCAACCUGCCUGUAAGCGGGGAAUAACCCGUUGAAAGACGGACUAAUACCGCAUAAUACUAAAUUACUGCAUGGUAAUUUAUUUAAACAUUUAUGGCUUACAGAUGGGCAUGCGCAUGAUUAGCUAGUUGGAGAGGUAACGGCUCCCCAAGGCAACGAUCAUUAGGGGUUCUGAGAGGAAGGUCCCCCACACUGGUACUGAGACACGGACCAGACUCCUACGGGAGGCAGCAGUGAGGAAUAUUGGUCAAUGGACGAGAGUCUGAACCAGCCAAGUCGCGUGCAGGAAGAAUGUCCUAGUUAGGAUUAGUAAACUGUCUUUUGCGAAGGGGAAUAAAGUGCAUCACGUGUGAUGUUUUGUAUGUACUCUGCGAAUAAGGAUCGGCUAACUCCGUGCCAGCAGCUGC
This 501-nucleotide ribosomal RNA is filed under the name uncultured bacterium. RNAcentral's name for it is "bacterial SSU rRNA". It matches the Rfam family "Bacterial small subunit ribosomal RNA", at positions 29 to 518 of the family's 1533-position model. The record is from RNAcentral.